UAGCUUCUUCAGAAUGAUUGUGCCUUAAAC
This 30-nucleotide non-coding RNA is filed under the name Rattus norvegicus (Norway rat). Lineage: Eukaryota; Metazoa; Chordata; Mammalia; Rodentia; Muridae. The record is from RNAcentral.